ACGAACGCUGGCGGCAUGCCUAACACAUGCAAGUCGAACGAGACCUUUGGGUCUAGUGGCGCACGGGUGCGUAACGCGUGGGAAUCUGCCCUUGGGUUCGGAAUAACAGUGAGAAAUUGCUGCUAAUACCGGAUGAUGUCUUCGGACCAAAGAUUUAUCGCCCAGGGAUGAGCCCGCGUAGGAUUAGCUAGUUGGUGGGGUAAUGGCCUACCAAGGCGACGAUCCUUAGCUGGUCUGAGAGGAUGAUCAGCCACACUGGGACUGAGACACGGCCCAGACUCCUACGGGAGGCAGCAGUGGGGAAUAUUGGACAAUGGGCGCAAGCCUGAUCCAGCAAUGCCGCGUGAGUGAUGAAGGCCUUAGGGUUGUAAAGCUCUUUUACCAGGGAUGAUAAUGACAGUACCUGGAGAAUAAGCUCCGGCUAACUCCGUG
Molecule: ribosomal RNA, 432 nt
Filed under: uncultured bacterium
Lineage: Bacteria
Description: partial 16S ribosomal RNA
Rfam family: Bacterial small subunit ribosomal RNA
Source: RNAcentral